AGACGGAGGGGGCUAGCGUUGUUCGGAAUUGCUGGGCGUAAAGCGCGCGUAGGCGGAUUGAUCAGUCAGAGGUGAAAUCCCAGGGCUCAACCCUGGAACUGCCUUUGAUACUGUCAGUCUUGAGUUCGAGAGAGGUGAGUGGAAUUCCGAGUGUAGAGGUGAAAUUCGUAGAUAUUCGGAGGAACACCAGUGGCGAAGGCGGCUCACUGGCUCGAUACUGACGCUGAGGUGCGAAAGCGUGGGGAGCAAACAGGAUUAGAUACCCUAGUAGUCC
Molecule: ribosomal RNA, 274 nt
Filed under: uncultured bacterium
Lineage: Bacteria
Description: partial 16S ribosomal RNA
Rfam family: Bacterial small subunit ribosomal RNA
Source: RNAcentral